AGAGAGAGACAUGCGCGCAUAUCAAUAAGCGGAGGAAAAGAAACUAACAAGGAUUCCCUUAGUAACGGCGAGUGAAGCGGGAAGAGCUCAAAUUUGAAAUCUUCAAGGGUUUCCCUUGACGAAUUGUAGUUUAAAGAAGUGUUUUCUGUUAGAGAGGUGGUAAAAGUUCUUUGGAAUAGGACAUCAUAGAGGGUGAGAAUCCCGUAUUUGAUCACUUUCUACUAACGUUGUGAUACACUUUCAAAGAGUCGGAUUGUUUGGGAAUGCAGUCCAAAAUGGGUGGUAAAUUUCAUCUAAAGCUAAAUAUUGGCGAGAGACCGAUAGCGAACAAGUACCGUGAGGGAAAGAUGAAAAGAACUUUGAAAAGAGAGUUAAACAGUACGUGAAAUUGUCAAAAGGGAAGCGUUUGACACCAGUGUUGUUUUUCCGAAAAUCAAUUACGAAUGUUUUAUUUUUGAGGAGUUAUGACUUCAUCGGCUUGCUCCUUUCUUUAUGAAACUUUCUUAAUGCACUUUUCGGUUAACAAGUCAACAUCAAUUUCUUUUGUUGUAAAAGGGUAUGAGGAAGGUGGCUUUCUUUUCGGAGAAAGUGUUUAUAGCCUUGUGCCUCUGCAAUCGGAGAGAUUGAGGUCUGCAGCGUAGAUCCUUCGGGGUUAGAUACAUUUGUGCUAAGUUAUAGCUUUUCAUAGACAACUUGUUGACUUAUGUUAGUCUUGUAGCUUACUCGCUUAUGCUAUUUUACCUACGCUUAGGAUGUUGACAGCAGUAUAGACUGU
This 775-nucleotide ribosomal RNA is filed under the name uncultured Neocallimastigales. RNAcentral's name for it is "partial large subunit ribosomal RNA". It matches the Rfam family "Eukaryotic large subunit ribosomal RNA", at positions 23 to 635 of the family's 3401-position model. The record is from RNAcentral. Lineage: Eukaryota; Fungi; Neocallimastigomycota; Neocallimastigomycetes; Neocallimastigales.